Molecule: ribosomal RNA, 843 nt
Filed under: Triticum aestivum (bread wheat)
Lineage: Eukaryota; Viridiplantae; Streptophyta; Magnoliopsida; Poales; Poaceae
Description: partial small subunit ribosomal RNA
Source: RNAcentral
AUGCAUUUUCCUUUGAAACCAUCCAAGAAAAAGGAUGAUGAGGAUUUUGAGCGCUUUGCUGAAAUGAUUAGGCCUAUCUUUUUGCAUAUGCGAUUAACUGAUGUGCUCAAAACAAAUCCUUAUGCUAAAUAUAUGAAGGAUAUCAUUACUAAUAAAAGAAAGAUACCGGAAGCUGAAAUUUCCACCAUGCUUGCUAAUUAUACUUUUAAGGGUGGAAUACCAAAGAAACUUGGAGACCCCGGAGUACCUACUGUACCUUGCUCCUUUAAAAGAAAUUAUAUUAAAACUGCUUUAUGUGAUCUUGGAGCCGGUGUUAGUGUUAUGCCUCUCUGUUUAUAUCGUAGACUAGACUUGAAUAAGUUGACACCUACUAAAAUAUCUUUGCAAAUGGCUGAUAAAUCAACUGCUAUACCUGUUGGUAUUUGUGAGGAUGUGCUUGUUGUGGUUCCAAACAUUACUAUUUUAACGGACUUUGUUAUACUUGAUAUUCCCGAGGAUGAUAGUAUGUAUAUUAUUCUUGGAAGACAUUUUCUUAAUACUGCAGGGGCUCUUAUUGAUUGCAACAAAGGCAUUGUCACUUUUCAUGUUAAUGGUAAUAAGCAUACGGUACACUUUCCGAGGAAACAACCCCAAGUUCAUAGUAUCAACUCUAUUGGAAAAAUUCCAUCGAUUAUAUUUGGAGGUUUUGAAUUUCCUCUUCCUACUGUCAAGAAGAAAUAUGAUAUUCUUAUUAUUGGGGAUGUGCAUAUACCCAUUGAGGAAUAUUUGAGGAUUUACUGUGCAAAAAUUACUGCAGGAGGAGCUGCCACCUGGCCACGAGGGUGGUGGGCGCCCCCCCCCUAG